AGCAGCCGCGGUAAUUCCAGCUCCAAUAGCGUAUAUUAAAGUUGUUGCAGUUAAAAAGCUCGUAGUUGAAUUUCGGGAUCAAUACGUUGGUCGUGCUUUCGGGUACGUACUGGCGUCAUUGGUUUCUCUCUUCUGACGAACCAUGAUGUCAUUAGUUUGGUGUUAUGGGGAGUUAGGACUGUUACUUUGAAAAAAAUUAGAGUGUUUAAAGCAGGCUCACGCUUGAAUACAUUAGCAUGGAAUAAUGAAAUAGGACGUUUGAUUCUAUUUUGUUGGUUUCUAGGAUUGACGUAAUGAUUAAUAGGGAUAGUUGGGGGCAUUAGUAUUCAAUUGUCAGAGGUGAAAUUCUUGGAUUUAUUGAAGACUAACUACUGCGAAAGCAUUUGCCAAGGAUGUUUUCAUUAAUCAAGAACGAAAGUUAGGGGAUCGAAGACGAUCAGAUACCGUCGUAGUCUUAACCAUAAACUAUGCCGACUAGGGAUCGGAUGAUGUUAAUUUUUUAAUGACUCAUUCGGCGCCU
RNAcentral lists this ribosomal RNA (520 nucleotides) under uncultured Glomus. Its description in RNAcentral is "SSU rRNA". It matches the Rfam family "Eukaryotic small subunit ribosomal RNA", at positions 569 to 1088 of the family's 1831-position model. Lineage: Eukaryota; Fungi; Glomeromycota; Glomeromycetes; Glomerales; Glomeraceae. The record is from RNAcentral.